CCUGACCUCGAUUCGAGCGUGAAU
RNAcentral lists this ribosomal RNA (24 nucleotides) under Gyrodactylus salaris (gyrodactylosis fluke). RNAcentral's name for it is "partial 28S ribosomal RNA". Lineage: Eukaryota; Metazoa; Platyhelminthes; Monogenea; Gyrodactylidea; Gyrodactylidae. The record is from RNAcentral.